Molecule: ribosomal RNA, 467 nt
Filed under: uncultured bacterium
Lineage: Bacteria
Description: bacterial SSU rRNA
Rfam family: Bacterial small subunit ribosomal RNA
Source: RNAcentral
GGACCCGCACAAGCAGCGGAGCAUGUGGUUUAAUUCGAAGCAACGCGAAGAACCUUACCAAGGCUUGACAUCGCCUGAAUAGUAUGGAAACAUAUGAAGUUGUAGCAAUACAACAGGCAGACAGGUGGUGCAUGGUUGUCGUCAGCUCGUGUCGUGAGAUGUUGGGUUAAGUCCCGCAACGAGCGCAACCCUUAUGAAUAGUUGCCAAUAUUAAGUUAGGAACUCUAUUCAGACUGCCGUGGAUAACACGGAGGAAGGUGAGGAUGACGUCAAAUCAUCACGCCCCUUACGUCUUGGGCUACACACGUGCUACAAUGGCUGUUACAAAGAGCAGCAAGAUGGUAACAUUGAGCAAAUCUCAGAAAAACAGUCUCAGUUCAGAUUGUGGGCUGCAACUCGCCCACAUGAAGGCGGAGUUGCUAGUAAUCGCGAAUCAGCACGUCGCGGUGAAUGCGUUCCCGGGUCUU